Molecule: non-coding RNA, 96 nt
Organism: Mycena galopus ATCC 62051
Lineage: Eukaryota; Fungi; Basidiomycota; Agaricomycetes; Agaricales; Mycenaceae
Source: the annotation of a GenBank genome assembly
UCGGACGUGGUGCGCGGUACACGCCCGCUCCUGCUGGUUCUUUCCCGAUCAAUUUGAAAGCGGGUACUCAACUGGGUUCGACUCCCAGCGUCCGGA